This 275-nucleotide long non-coding RNA is filed under the name Homo sapiens (human). RNAcentral's name for it is "HSALNT0092807". The record is from RNAcentral. Lineage: Eukaryota; Metazoa; Chordata; Mammalia; Primates; Hominidae.
CUACUUAGUUUAAGCUCAGUUCAAAGACUGGGUGAUUUUUGGCCAAAUUCUCACCAUUGUGACAGUAAGUUUUCUACUUUCUCUUUUAGUAACACCCAUGGAUGGUAAGAACAAAGAAGAACCUUCAUUUCUAGGACCCAGCCUACUUUCCUCUCCUCUUGGAAACUGCCACUAACAUACUGUCUCUGAAUGUCCUGUUUCUUCCAAUCUGCUAGAAUGGGGUAUGUCUUCUCCACCUCCUUCUUUCAUUUCUGCCCUGAAAGUAUGAGAUACCU